UCCCCGAUGGUCCAGUGGUUAAGACUCCGAGCUUUCACCGCAGUGGCCCAGGUUCAAUCCCUGGUUGGGGAA
This is a transfer RNA of Ovis aries (sheep), 72 nucleotides long. It matches the Rfam family "tRNA". From Rfam's summary of the family: Transfer RNA (tRNA) molecules are approximately 80 nucleotides in length. Their secondary structure includes four short double-helical elements and three loops (D, anti-codon, and T loops). Lineage: Eukaryota; Metazoa; Chordata; Mammalia; Artiodactyla; Bovidae. The record is from Rfam.